This 440-nucleotide ribosomal RNA is filed under the name uncultured bacterium. RNAcentral's name for it is "bacterial SSU rRNA". It matches the Rfam family "Bacterial small subunit ribosomal RNA", at positions 954 to 1392 of the family's 1533-position model. The record is from RNAcentral.
GCUUAACGCGAAGAACCUUACCAGGACUUGACAUGGAGGGGACCGGACGAGAGAUCGUUCUUCUUCCGCAAGGAAGCCCCUCACACAGGUGCUGCAUAGCUGUCGUCAGCUCGUGUCGUGAGAUGUUGGGUUAAGUCCCGCAACGAGCGCAACCCUCGUUUUUAGUUGCCAUCAUUCAGUUGGGCACUCUAAAGAGACUGCCGCGAAUAACGCGGAGGAAGGUGGGGACGACGUCAAGUCAUCAUGGCCCUUACGUCCUGGGCUACACACGUGCUACAAUGGGCGUCACAGAGGGUCGCAAGAGCGCAAGCUGGAGCCAAUCCCCAAAAACGUCCUCAGUUCAGAUCGAGGUCUGCAACCCGACCUCGUGAAGGUGGAAUCGCUAGUAAUCGCGGAUCAGAACGCCGCGGUGAAUACGUUCCCGGGUCUUGUACACACCG